GGACUGGUAGUCAUGGCAACAGGGGCACAUCCAGAAGCCAGAGCUGGAAAACAGAGCAGGUCAAAUGUGGAACUGGCUUUUGGCUAGAGUGGAGAGGUGAUGCCAGAAGACCAGACUAGGUAGAGGGCCCAGGGACAGUCCAUGGUGCCCAGGCAGCAAGGGAAGUCCUGGUGCCCAGGCCAGAUGGCAUUCUGCUGGAUGUCUGGUUGCGAUUCCAGCUGGCUCAAAGUCCCAUUUGCUCCUCAUGCCACAGAUUCGUCUACCUGGCUCUGAUAUUCUGUUUUCUUUUUUUUUCUUCCUCCCCAUAUUUCAGAUGCCCUCAAAGCAGCCUCAUGAAGCUAUUUUGCCAGAAGCUCUGUAAGGUGACCCUAUUGUAGAAAUGCGAGAGUGCCUUUUGAGAAUCUAUUGAAAUCCCCCCAGCAAUAUGCAAAUGAGCACAGAAACCUGCAAGUAAUAUACCUAGACCCAUGGACCUAGUGGAGCUGAUGAAUCAUAGGUUAAGAACUCCAAAAUUAUCAUGUUUUAUUACUUAGUAGCUUUUAUAACUCCUUUUGAAUUACAAAAUCUUUCUAGGCUCUGUCUACACAAACAAGUGGCCAUAAUUGAACUUGAUCUUUUUUGCCAUAGAGGACCACCACCAUUUUACUCCCCUAAAUACAUAAUUUAUUCCUGACAUCUUAAAUAUACAUCUAGUACUAUGCACAGCAUUGUGUUAUACAUUACUAUACCUCCCCAAUAUAAUUUGAAGGCAACCUGUACUUAGCUUCACAACAAAAUCAAUCUUAAUAAGUAUUUGGCUAUGUAAUAUUAACUAAGUAUUGAGGAAAAAAUCCCUGUAAAUGUGGUCACGAAGCCUAGAUUUAAAUAACUGUAAUUUAAGCUUGUUCUAAAGAUUUAUGACCAAUAGCAAAUACAAAGAAUUAUGUAUUUCUUUGUAAAUCUAAUUUUACAGUGGAAUAAACAUAAUGAAUAAAAUCCACUGAAUGAUUGGAAACAAUAUGAGCUUUGGGAGCUUGGGAAUUAAAUUACUUAUUUGUUUCUCUGUCUCUUUAGAUUCUACAAUUUUAAUUCCUAGUGGCCCAAGCUGAGUAAGGCAGAUUAGUAUGAUCAUUUUUCUGUCUCUUCCUUUAGGACAGUUUGAAAAGGAGCCCAAAUGCCACAACAUUUUGUUUUGUGCAUCAAUGCCACGUCUGUAAUGGCACCUAAAAACUGCUCUCCAGUGAAGGACCCUGACCCUGAAAUACUGGUAUAUCUUUCAUUACUGUCAUCCAAACUUCAUUCAUAAGAGGAUUCACUCAUUCUUCAUUCAUUCACUGGAAAACUAAGCAAUCUAAAUAGCCCAGUUGUUUGAUUUAAGCAAUUCAUAGUGAGAUGUAAAUUUCUUGGUGAAAUAUACAUAGUAAUAUGCAGUUGUGAUGGAGAGAGCCCUCUAAAAAUUUCAAGAGAAUCUGGCUUUCAUCGGUGAAAAUUUGGGGAGCAACUCAUUAUUGAAAAUCAUUUCUUCUCUGAAGAAUCUCUCUGUCACUUCUUUGCAAAGAUAUAUGUUGCAAAGAUAUAUGCAAAUAUAUAGAUUUAGUAUGCAUAAAUCGGCUCGUUAUAAUACAGAGGUAUUUGUAUUCUUAGCCCCAAUUAUUUUUAAAUCUAGAGUUUUCAACAGGUUUUACUCUUUCAUAGUAAUAUUAUGGUCUCAGGUUUGUUUUCAAUAAUUUCUACUCCAUUGCUUUAGGAUAACUAAUUUGAUAGACAUAAAAUUUUCAUACUCUCUAGGAAAAUAUUUCACCUAAAUAUGAGAUUUAUUUAAUCUCAUGUUGCAUUUGGCUUUAAAUUUGACUUAACCUAACUGAAUGUAUUUUAAUUGUUUCACAUCUUACGGUAAGCAAAUGCAAUAUCUACAUAUGCUCUUGUGCCUCUAAAGCUACAUCAUGAAAUUUGUUUCCAGGGUUACACCUAGAGAGACAAAAUUUAGUUCCUAAUUGGUCUGAGACAUAAACAAUAAAGAUGUAAAGAUAACACUAUCUCUUCAUUUCUGUCUCUCCAUAUCUAUUGUUUUCUUUAAGAAAUAACUCACAGUAACUUUCCAACCUCAGCAAACAAGUAUGAAAACUCAAGUUGUUUUCACUCUGAAAAUGAACCAGUUUCCAGCCAUUGUGUUUUAUGUCGGAACUGUCUAACUUAAAUUGCAUGUCCUUGGGGCAGAGAGCAGCUUUCUAUUUUUUUUUUUUAACUGAGCCAAGUAUCCUGUCACUGUUCUACAAAACAAUAAAUAAUGAAGUAAAUUGAAGAUGUGUGAAUUGUGCCACCUUGACAGAAAAUAGAGCCGAUGUUCUCGGAGGUGUUAACAACAGUAUUUCCCAACAAGCAGCCGGAGCCUCUCUCCAGCACCUCAGAAACCCAAACAGCAAUGGAGGAUAAGAAAGUGGAAGCAAAGACAGAAGAGAAUAUUUAUUUGGGAUUAACUUGUAGUUACCUACUUGAGUACCUUUGUCUGUACUAAACAGACAAAGGAAAUGAUGGCUCUUUUAACCAUCAGGCAUAUUGUAUAAACAUCAUUCUCUUUCAUUCCACAUUGGGAAAAACAAACCCUUUCCCCACAUUUUACUUUGUGUAUAAAGUGUGUUAAUAAAACUAAAUGUGUGUUAACAAAUGUGUUUUAAUAAAAACUAAUGUAUCUAAUAAAACUAAAAAUAGGUGAUCAUAUUUGUUCAAAAGUUCUUGGUUUUUCCUGUAAACAAGGCAUAGAGAGCUUUGUGUGCUUCAGUUUCCACCAAAAGGUACCUUGUAAGAGAGGACUUCCUUGAACACUAUAUGUAAACUAACUCUGGUCCUCUAGCUCGUCCGCACAGUCAUUCUUCCUCUAUUCCGUGUUAUUUUCCUUAUCAAAUUCACCCCAUCUGAAAUUAUGUUCUCAGUUCUUUUUUAAAAAAAUUAUAUCACAUUAUGAGCAUAUACCUUUCUGUGAGGGAAAUGUCUUUGUAUUGUUUUGCUAGCACCUAAUAAAAUUCUGCAACAUAGUGGAUUUCAGUCAAUAUUUGUAGAAAAGUAAAAGAAAUACAACUUUAAAACAAACUAAGUGGUGGCGGGGCAUGGUGGUUCACACUU
Long non-coding RNA from Sapajus apella (tufted capuchin), 3099 nucleotides. RefSeq lists it as uncharacterized. NCBI's taxonomy places the organism in Eukaryota, Metazoa, Chordata, Mammalia, Primates, Cebidae. The record is from RefSeq and is a predicted model, not a curated record. The transcript has 3 exons.